RNAcentral lists this long non-coding RNA (1229 nucleotides) under Pan troglodytes (chimpanzee). RNAcentral's name for it is "long non-coding RNA NONPTRT013881". The record is from RNAcentral. Lineage: Eukaryota; Metazoa; Chordata; Mammalia; Primates; Hominidae.
CAAUGGCGCCAUCUUGGCUCCCUGCAGCCCCCGCCUCCCGGGUUGAAGGGACUCUCCGGCCUCAGGCCGCGGCGUUUUUGUAAACUGGAACCGGCCUGUGCGCCAAGCGCGGCUCCCGCGGCUGCGGAGAGAGGCCCAGCAGGGGGCGGGGACGCCGCGAGGCGGGGCCUGGCCGAGCUGCGCACGCCCGGGUGGUUCUGGCUACGGGUACCCGGACCUGCCCAACGACAGUUCUCCAUUCCCGACCUCCGCACCCUACCCGGUCCGCAGGGCACUUUCCUCCUCUCUCCCAGGCACGUCCUCGACCUCAGUUGCCACGUGCACAUGCUGGUGCCUUCCAGGUCGGUCUUUCUCCACCAGUCUCCACCUGCAACUUUCUUCCUUUUCGUCCUGUGCUGGCCUAACCCCUGCUCGGCCUCGGCCCUCAGCUGCCGGCUCUAACAAUGCCUCUGUCUUUCCGAGACCCCCGUGACCAGCUCAGGCUCUGCUCCCUGCGUUCCUCUCUCCUCGCUUCCCUCCCCGCCUCCCCGGGGCUUCCCCAUCAGUGUGGAUUCCGACCUCAUAAGGACCAGUCUAACGCUCUCUGCUGGAUGGAAGCGCAAAACGGACCCUCUCACUCUUGCCUUAUCCCCAGCACCAAGGAGGGGCUCAGAGUGGGACUGGUGGCUUCUUAAGAAGAGAAAGAGACCUGAGGAAGCACACUGAACCCCUCACCAUAUGAUGCCCUGUACCACCCCGAGACCGCAGCGUCCCCACCAGCAAGAAGGUACUCAUGACAUGUGACCCCUUGACCUUGGACUUGUCAGCCUCUAGAGCUGUAAGAAAUAAAUUCUUUUUCUUUAUAAACUGUCCAGUUUCAGGUAUUCUGUUAUAAGCAACAGAAAACAAAGUAAGAUAGGCACCUAGGCUUUGCCAUCCCCUAACGUCCUAAGAAAGGGGAAAGAAAAUGGGGGCGCAUGAAGAGGACAUAGUCAUGGACCUAGCAUGUAAGUAACAGAUGGUUAUGCUCACCUUCCUUUGGAGAGGCCUGAGUCGCACAGCCUCACCCAACUACAAAGCCUGGAAAGUGUAGUCUAGUUAAUGUGCCCACAGAUAGGGGAAUACAGAGGCUAGCAGGUAGCUAGUGGUCUUCACCACUGUGGUAGCCAGAAUAAUGGCCCCCGAAAGAUGUCCACAUCCUACUCCCUGGAAUCUGCGAAUAUGUAUUGCAUGGCAGAAGGAACUUUAUG